CAGGGUUUCACUCUGUCACCCAGGCUGGAGUGCAGUGGCACUGUCAUAGCUCAUCGCAGCCUCAAACUCCCAGGCUCAAGCAAUCCUCGCACCUCAGCCUCCUGAGCAUCUGGGACCACACAUGCAGCACGCACCACCACACCCAGCUAAUUUUUAUUUUAUUUUAUUUUAUUUUUGAGACGGAGUCUCACUCUGUCGCGCCAACUCGGCUCACUACAACCUCCGCCUCCUGGGUUCAAGCAGUUCUCCUGCCUCAGCCUCCCGAGUAGCUGGGACUAUAGGCGACCGCCACCACACCUGGCUAAUUUUUGUAUUUUUAGUAGAGACAAGGUUUCACCAUGUUGACCAGGCUGGUCUCGAACUCCUUGCCUCAAGUGAUCCUCCCACUUCAGCCUCCCAAAGUGCUGGAAUUACAGGUGUGAGCCACUGUGCCCGGCCCAGAGACUUUUGAAAGUCUAAAAUGGAUUGUAUCAUAGCUCACAUCACUCCUCUUCCCACUGCAGGAUAAAACCCAGGCCUCUCACUGCAACACACAAGGCCCCGAAUGGUCCCGCUCCCCUCUCCGUUCGUUCCUCUUUCUCUUGCCCACCACGCUGCAGCCUGGGGUCUGUCUCUGCCUUUCACACAUCCAACUUCAUUCCUGCCCCGUGGACCUUGCCCUUGUCACCGAACCUUUGUGGAACGCUUUCACCCCAGCUCUCCACAUGGCUGGGCUCCUUCUCCCGCUGGAGAGCCACCGUCACAUCCUCAGAGAGGUUCUGCCUGAGUCCUCCCUCCAACGCCGCCCCCAAAGCCAUUCUGCCUUCCGCCAGUUUC
RNAcentral lists this long non-coding RNA (816 nucleotides) under Homo sapiens (human). RNAcentral's name for it is "HSALNT0254582". The record is from RNAcentral. Lineage: Eukaryota; Metazoa; Chordata; Mammalia; Primates; Hominidae.